RNAcentral lists this ribosomal RNA (497 nucleotides) under uncultured bacterium. Its description in RNAcentral is "partial 16S ribosomal RNA". It matches the Rfam family "Bacterial small subunit ribosomal RNA", at positions 28 to 507 of the family's 1533-position model. The record is from RNAcentral.
GAUGAACGCUGGCGGCGUGCCUUACACAUGCAAGUCGAGCGAAAACAUAAGUAGCUUUCCUCUUUGACGUUAGCCGCGGACGUGUUAGUAAGAAACGUGUCCCCUAGCUGUAAGACAGGGAUAACUUCGGUUACUCGGAGCUCAUACCGGCUAACAUAUUGAACCGCAUGGUUCAAUAGUUAACGGCGUCUUUGCUGUCACUUAUAGAUGAAUCCGAUCCGGGUUGGCUAGUUGGUCAGGCAACGGCUUACCAAGGCAACGAUUCGUAACCGAGCUGAGAGGGUGAACCAGCACCCUGGAACUGGGAAACGGGCCAGGCUCCUACGGGAGGCAGCAGUAGGGAAUCUUCGACAAUGGGCGAAAGCCUGACGGAGCAACGCCGCGUGAAGGAUGAAGGUCUUCGGAUCGUAAAACUCUGUUGUAAGGGAAGAAAAAAUGUGGGAGAAAAUGUGCGGAUCAUGACGGUACCGUAUCAGAAAGCCACGGCUAACUACGUG